Molecule: RNA transcript, 4918 nt
Organism: Canis lupus familiaris (dog)
Lineage: Eukaryota; Metazoa; Chordata; Mammalia; Carnivora; Canidae
Gene: CCDC57
Gene name: coiled-coil domain containing 57
Exons: 18
Source: RefSeq, a predicted model, not a curated record
CCGGAACCCGGCGCCGGAGCUCGCGUUUCCGGGCGGUGGGACCCGAGCGCCGCACCGAGCGCGCCGGAGCCGCGAGGGCGGACUUGGUCACCAUGGCGACGCGGCGGGACGGAGGCCGGUCCCCACGGGCGUGCGCGGAAAGGACCAAUCAGUGAUGGAUUAGAAAUAGAAGAGCCAAGGAACCUGCUCCUGAGUGCUGAAUCUCCAGGAGCCGGGGCCUGCGGCAGGAGCGGAGUGUGGGACAGGAGGGGUGUUGGCCCUCAGAGGCUGGGGGACUCCAGCACUUGCUCAGCUCCUUGGCUGCCUCGUUUUCUCAUCUGCAAAGUGGGAGAGCGCUUCGUGAGCCUGUUUUAAAGGACCCAGCCCUUGUAGCUUUCUGGAUGCUGCCGCCGCCGUCGCCUUCGGAGGCGGCCCUGAGCCAGCUGCUGGCCCGCAAGGAGGAGGAGUGGAGGGCGCUGCAGGCCCACCGCUGCCAGCUGCAGGAGGCCGCUCUGCAGGCCGCGCACAGCCAGCUGCAGGAGGCGCAGGGGGCGCUGCGGUGCCUGCAGGAGGACUUCGCGUACAACCUGCAGGUGCUGGAGGAGCGGGACCUCGAGCUGGAGCGCUACGAUGCCGCGUUCGCCGAGGCCCGUGGGCGGGAGGAGGCGCGGCAGGCGGAGCUGAGUGAGCUGAGGGUGCAGGUGGCCCGGCUGAGGCAGGCGCUCGCCGGUGAGGCCCAGCGGCGGGAGGACCUGCAGCAGCAGCUCCAGCUGAAGCUGCAGGAGCACCGGCUGGAGCUGGAGCGCAUCCACAGUGACAAGAACAGCGAGAUGGAUCAGCAGCGGGAACAGUACGAAAACCUGAAGUGGCAGCUGCAGAGGAAGCUGGAGGAGCUCGAGGGCGAACUUGCUCUGCAGAGGCAGGAGCUGCAGCUGGAAUUCGAGUCUGAAAUGCAGAAGAGGGAGCACGGGUUCCGCCUGCAGGCUGACGGCAUGAGCAACGCGGUGCUGACUCAGGAGCUCAAGGUGAAACUGCUGAACAAGGAGCUCGGGGCCCUGAAGGAAGCUGCCGCCCAGGCCGCAGAGUCGCUGCGGGGUGCUGAGGCCGCCAAUGCGGGGCUGGAGGAGCAGCUGCAGCACAGCCACCAGGAGCUCAGGGACCUGGCCGCCUCCAAGGACGCCCGGAUAAAGGACUUGGAGGGCAAACUUAACUCUGUGCAGCUCUCCAGGAAGAAGGAAGAAGAGGUCUUCAGGAGGAAGCACGAGGAGCUCGACCACCUGGCCCGGGAGAGGGACGUGGCACUGGUGGCUGUGAAGGAGGCCCACGCGGAGCAGCUGCGGGCGCUGGAGGCCCGGGCCCUGGAGCUGCAGGCCCGCUGCGAGACCCUGGAGCUGCAGCUCCGCAGGGCAGAGUGGAGGCGGGCCGACGCCCUGAAGGAGAAGGAUGCCGCCGUGGACCAACUUCGGGAAGAUGCAUCGACUCUGAGGUCGGGCUGGGAUGCCCAGGUUGCUCAGCUGUCCAAGGACAUAAUCUCCAGGGACCUUCAGAUUCAGUCUCUGCAGGAGGAAGCAGGGGAGCUCAAGGCACAUCUGGCCCGGUGCCAGCAGGACGUCGGAAGGUACAAACAGCAGCUGUCGGCGGCAGCAGACAGGGAGCGGUGCCUGGAGCGUGAGCGGGCGCAGCUGGAGCUGGACUGGCGGCAGCGCUGUGACAGCGUGGAGAGGGACCACUACCGCAAGUCCGAGGACCUGAUCCAGGCCCUGACCGAGGCGCGAGAUCAGGCUGCUGCCAAGCUGCAGGAGACCGAGCGGACGCUGCGUGACCAGGAGGUGGUGCUGCAGGCCUUGAGCCUGGAGAGGGACUGGGCCGUGGAGGCGCUGAGGACACGCGGGCUCCUCCCCGACAAGGAGGUGCAGGUGCUCCUAAGGCAUCGUGAAGAAGAAACCAAGGAAAGUUUUCCGUCCUAUGAGAUCCAGAGGCUCCAGGAGCAAAACACAAGCUUACGAAGGGCUGUUUCAGAGAUGAGGAAAGAAAUGGAGACUCUGAGUGAGCAUGUUCUUCCUCCUGCCCCGUCAGGGGGUCAGGCCGGCGGCCCAGAAGAGCCCCGGCCACAUCCAGAGGCAGCUGCGAAGGCUCCUGAUCACGUUAUGGUCCUUGAAACGGAAAUACGAAAUCUAAAGGAUAAACUUAAAACCCUGGAGGAACAAAUAGAAGAUGUCUUAGAUCCUGCAAAGAGGUCCUCAUCUUACGCUGACGUUCAGCCCAGUGUCCACUGCCCGGCUGAGGCCCCCGGAGGAGCCAUGUCAGCUGGUCAUGCACCUGUGGGGCAGGCGCUCAGGAGGCUCAGAGACAGGACGCAUCUCACCACCGUCCUGGUGGCCCGGCUCAAGCAGAAGGUGCUGCAGAGACCCCUGGACCCAGACAUCAUCCAGCACGAGCUUUCCCGUGAUGUGGACCAGGUGCACCUGGAGGUUUUAGAGCUGCAGAAGCAGAUGGCUGAGCUUGAGGAGCAUCUUGGGGGCAGACAGCAGUCGGGAGCCCCAGACAAGGCUGUCCUCGGUGGGGAGGCCUGCAGUAACGACUGUACCUGAUGUCACAGCUCACCGCCCUGAGCUCUUUGGCAGAAGCAGUGUAGAAGUCAGAGGUUGUUCCAAGGGCAGGAGGGAGACGGCUUCAGGACAACUGCCAGCGCCGAAGGACCAGAGGAGAGGGUGGGUCCACUCCUCUCUGGCUCAGGAACACCAGGGGGACCCAGCCAGGCCUUGGGACAGACGGACGGGGGAGGCACGGCUGCAGGGGAGGCUCCCGAGUAGAAGCUGCCUGGAGAGCCCAAGCCCCGGCCCCUCGCCGGGCCUCCCGCUGUCCUGCAGCUCGAGGACACCGUCCUGGCCACAGAGGCAGGAGAGCAGCACGUCUGCCUGAACCCCGUGUCCGCAGUUGGUUCCAGGGGCUGCCCACACUCGGGCCCAAGGUCAGCAGCACCAGAGCAGCCCCCAAGGUUCACAGCCUGGUUCACGGACUCUGCUGCUUAGACGGGAAGAAUUGUGGGCCUCAGCAGGAUUUAAAAUCAGGAUGUUUAAUGCUGUGGCUGACUGGCUGGAGCUAAACUGACUAUGACCUUAGGGAGAAAUAGAGGCUCAGGAAACCCAGGGGGUGCUCCCUGUGCCCAGGCCAGGUCCCCCCAGGACGGCAGCAUCUUGGGGGCCCAGAAGCCUCCAGCGCCAAGAACCUGGUUUUGGAAUUUCUCACUCUGCUGAGAGGAAGCAGGCCCAGGCCGGGGGGCGGGGGUGGGGAGAUCCACCAUGGCACCUGGAGACGGGACAGGACGCAGCUGCCAACGGCCCCGGCGCUGGCUGCGGAGAGAAGCACAAGCUGGAGCCUCGAGGCAUAAAUGAGCAGCUUGUCUCCAACUUCUGCCCGCGGUCCCGGAAGAAAUUCCUAUGGUGAGGGGGGCUCUUGGCAUCCUGUCCUCGCGGCAGCCCGUGCGGCACUCUGGGCACCUGGCCUGGCGCCCAGGGUCCCCCACCCUCCUGCCCACCACUCCUCCCAGUCCUGAAACCCCUGCGGCCCUGAGCCCGGCGGCAGGGACGCCCUGGGAUCACUGGGGGGCGGUGUCCACCAGUCCUGCCUGCGCCCCGGGUCGUGCAGAGGAUUGGAAUCCCUCUCGUCCCCCAGACCCCUGGGGCCCAGCCGGCGCCCCUCCGAGCCCCUCCGUGCCGACCUGGGCUUGCUCCGACGUCAGCCUCUGCGGAGCGCAGUCGCCGCUGCCCUUGGGAACAGAGUCCUCCCUGGUGAGGACACCUCAGCCGGCCAGACCCUCACUGCGCUGCGCCAACCUGCGCCUGCCUGGCCAGGACACGGGAGCAGCCCCCAAACAGGCGCGGGCGGAUGGGGCCAGCACGGGGGACCGCGUGGGCCCUGAAGCGUGCGGCAGUUUUAAGUCCUGGAACGUGUCAUUGGAGCCACUUUCCUCUUAAGUAUCUUGAGCGUCACUUUGCAAAGGUUCCUUUCGGGGUUGCUCACUGAAAAUGGUACAGGAGACUCCAGCGUCAUGCUCCUGUGGAGGCCGGGCCUCCAUCCUCCCUCCCUCGAGGUCUGUCCCACCCUACAGGCCUGAGGACCCCAGUCAUUCCUGGCCUUUGGAGACUCAGGUGAGGCCGGUCCCCGUGCGGUUGGUAGUGGGCCCACGUCUAUCAGGGGGAAGGGUCUGGAUUGGGUGUUGGGCUGUGGUGCCGCAGGGCCGCCUCCCCCUCCUCCCUGCUGCCCCCCUGCCCCGCCUCCUGCCCACCCAGCCCGCGGCACACGCUGGAGGUGCCGUGCGUGGUGGUCACGGCUCUAGGCACCUGAAGAAUAGGGGCCCCGGAGUGCACAGGUGCCUGCCAGCCCUGGAAGGGUGCACCAGGAAAUUGGGGCCAGGACAGAACGUGCCAGUCUGUCCCAGGGACUCCAGGCCGGUUUCUGUCCUGGCUCUGGCCCACGCAGUCAGCACAGGGCACAGUGUAGCUUUUCACGGUGUCAGGAGCGGCCGUGCCUAAGUAGGCCACCUGCCUCCCUCGGGGCUUGGACGCCGUUUCCUCCAGGCCUCUGUCUGGCACACAGUCCACACGCACACUUGUCUUUUCCUCUCUCUCAUUCUCUGACCCCGUCGUUCUGCACACCCUCCAAGUGUGACCGUGUGUCUGUGCCCUGUGGUGACCUAGCACGGUGACCCCACAACACGUGGUGCAGGAAGAGUUGAGGAAGGCUGGCGCCUGCCACACACCCUCCAUCAGGCCUCUGCCCGCCCCUCCACACCAGGUCCCUGCAGACCAAGGACCCCCGAGGACAGAGGACUUGUCUGUGCCCCGACUCCAGCGGAGACUAAAGGAGGCGACCCGAAAAAUCCUCCGCCUCUGCGAAGAGAAGGAGCAGCUCCUGGAGAUGGGGAACAGGCUCCGUG